RNAcentral lists this ribosomal RNA (465 nucleotides) under uncultured bacterium. Its description in RNAcentral is "partial 16S ribosomal RNA". It matches the Rfam family "Bacterial small subunit ribosomal RNA", at positions 339 to 795 of the family's 1533-position model. The record is from RNAcentral.
CUACGGGUUGCAGCAGUGAGGAAUAUUGCGCAAUGGGGGAAACCCUGACGCAGCGACGCCGCGUGGAUGAUGAAGGCCUUCGGGUCGUAAAAUCCUGUCAGAAGGAAAGAAGUGUAUGGUAGCUAAUAUCUGCCAUACUUGACGGUACCUUCAAAGGAAGCACCGGCUAACUCCGUGCCAGCAGCCGCGGUAAUACGGAGGGUGCAAGCGUUGUUCGGAAUUACUGGGCGUAAAGCGCGCGUAGGCGGUUUUAUAAGUCAGAUGUGAAAGUCCACGGCUCAACCAUGGAAGUGCAUUUGGAACUGUAAGACUUGAGUAUUGGAGGGGGUAGUGGAAUUCCCGGUGUAGAGGUGAAAUUCGUAGAUAUCGGGAGGAAUACCGGUGGCGAAGGCGACUAUCUGGCCAAAUACUGACGCUGAGGUGCGAAAGCGUGGGGAGCAAACAGGAUUAGAUACCCGGGUAGUC